UACAGAGGGGGCAAGCGUUGUUCGGAAUUACUGGGCGUAAAGGGCGCGUAGGCGACCUUCUAAGUCGAACGUGAAAUCCCUGGGCUCAACCCAGGAACUGCGUCCGAUACUGGAAGGCUUGAAUCCGGGAGAGGGAUGCGGAAUUCCAGGUGUAGCGGUGAAAUGCGUAGAUAUCUGGAGGAACACCGGUGGCGAAGGCGGCAUCCUGGACCGGUAUUGACGCUGAGGCGCGAAAGCCAGGGGAGCAAACGGG
This 253-nucleotide ribosomal RNA is filed under the name uncultured bacterium. RNAcentral describes it as "partial 16S ribosomal RNA". It matches the Rfam family "Bacterial small subunit ribosomal RNA", at positions 524 to 776 of the family's 1533-position model. The record is from RNAcentral.